CUAACAUGAGUGCGAGUCAGCGGGUGUCCAAAGCCUGAAAGGCACAAGGAAGCUAAGUGGCAAGAUCAUCCCACCAUGGGGGUCUUGCACUGCCGACCGACCUUGAUCUUCUGUGAAGGGUUAGAGUGGGAGCAUGCCUAUUGGGACCCGAAAGAUGUUGAACUAUCCCUGAGCAGGGCGAGGUCAAAGGAAACUCUGGUGGAGACCCGUAGCGAUACUGACAUGCAAAUCAUUCAUCUGACUUGGGAAUAGGGGUGAAAGACUAAUCGAACCGUCUAGUAGCUGG
This 286-nucleotide non-coding RNA is filed under the name Amborella trichopoda. RNAcentral describes it as "rRNA LSU_rRNA_eukarya". It matches the Rfam family "Eukaryotic large subunit ribosomal RNA", at positions 675 to 954 of the family's 3401-position model. Lineage: Eukaryota; Viridiplantae; Streptophyta; Magnoliopsida; Amborellales; Amborellaceae. The record is from Rfam by way of RNAcentral.